AUGCGGGACUCAUCAGAGGCCUCGCAGUUGGAAUGAGCGCACUUUAAUUCGUUCGACGAGGAUCUAUUGGAGGGCAAGUCUGGUGCCACAGCCGCGGUAAUUCCAGCUCCAAUAGCGUAUAUUAAAGUUGUUGCAGUUAAAAAGCUCGUAGUUGGAUCUGGGGUUCGGGUCGGCGGUUUGCCGCUUCGGCGGCUACUGCCGUGCUCGACUCUUACUAGCCGGUGCGUCUUGCGGUGCUCUUCAUCGAGUGCCGUAGGAGCCUGGCAUGUUUACUUUGAAAAAAUUAGAGUGCUCAAAGCAGGCGAUUCCGCCUGAAUAGUGUUGCAUGGAAUAAUGGAAUAGGACCUCGGUUCUAUUUUGUUGGUUUUCGGAACUUGAGGUAAUGAUUAAGAGGGACGGUCGGGGGCAUUCGUAUUUCGGUGUUAGAGGUGAAAUUCUUGGAUCGCUGAAAGACGGACAAAUGCGAAAGCAUCUGCCAAGAACGUCUCCAUUAAUCAAGAACGAAAGUCAGAGGUUCGAAGACGAUCAGACACCGUCCUAGUUCUGACCAUAAACGAUGCCAACUAGCGAUCCGCAGUGGUUGCUAUAAACGGACUCUGCGAGCAGCUUCCGGGAAACCAAAGUGUUUGGGUUCCGGGGGAAGUAUGGUUGCAAAGCUGAAACUUAAAGGAAUUGACGGAAGGGCACCACCAGGAGUGGAGCCUGCGGCUUAAUUUGACCCAACACGGGGAAACUCACCCGGUCCGGACACUGUAAGGAUUGACAGAUCGAGAGCUCUUUCUUGAUUCGGUGGAUGGUGGUGCAUGGCCGUUCUUAGUUGGUGGAGUGAUUUGUCUGGUUAAUUCCGAUAACGAACGAGACUCUAGCCUGCUAACUAGUUGCGCCGUGUUCAUACGCGGCUGUAGACUUCUUAGAGGGACAGGUGGCGUUUAGCCACACGAAAUUGAGCAAUAACAGGUCUGUGAUGCCCUUAGAUGUCCGGGGCCGCACGCGCGCUACACUGAAGGAGUCAGCGUGUGCUAUCCGGGCUCGGAAGAGUUCGGUAACCCGUUGAAACUCCUUCGUGCUUGGGAUUGUGGCUUGUAAUUAUCGCGCAUGAACGAGGAAUUCCCAGUAAGUGCAAGUCAUCAGCUUGCGCUGACUACGUCCCUGCCCUUUGUACACACCGCCCGUCGCUACUACCGAUUGAAUGGUUUAGCAAGGUACUCGGAUUGGUCUCGAUCUUGUACGAAAGUGCGGGAUCUGUGGCCGAGAAGAAGGCCAAACUUGAUCAUUUAGAGGAAGUAAA
RNAcentral lists this ribosomal RNA (1288 nucleotides) under metagenome. Its description in RNAcentral is "SSU rRNA". It matches the Rfam family "Eukaryotic small subunit ribosomal RNA", at positions 483 to 1786 of the family's 1831-position model. The record is from RNAcentral.